GCCAGGUGUGGUGGCACGUAUCUGUAGUCCCAGCUAUUUGGGAGGCUGAGGCUGGAGGAUCUCUUGAGCCCAGGAGUUCUGGGCUGUAGUGCACUAUGCUGAUCGGGUAUCCACACUAAGUUCAGCAUCAAUAUGAUGACCUCCUGGGAGUGGGGGACCACCAGGUUGCCAAAGGAGGGGUGAACUGGCCCAGGUCGGAAACAGAGCAGGUCAAAACUCCCAUGCUGAUCAGUAGUGGGAUCGUGCCUGUGAAGGGCCACUGCACUCCAGCCUGGGCAACAUAUCAAGAUCCUGUCUCUU
Callithrix jacchus (white-tufted-ear marmoset) is the source of this 300-nucleotide unclassified non-coding RNA. It matches the Rfam family "Metazoan signal recognition particle RNA". From Rfam's summary of the family: The signal recognition particle (SRP) is a universally conserved ribonucleoprotein. It is involved in the co-translational targeting of proteins to membranes. The eukaryotic SRP consists of a 300-nucleotide 7S RNA and six proteins: SRPs 72, 68, 54, 19, 14, and 9. The record is from Ensembl. NCBI's taxonomy places the organism in Eukaryota, Metazoa, Chordata, Mammalia, Primates, Cebidae.